GACGUAGGGCGCGAGCGUUGUCCGGAUUUAUUGGGCGUAAAGAGCUCGUAGGCGGCUUGUCGCGUCGUUCGUGAAAACCCGGGGCUCAACUCCGGGCUUGCGGGCGAUACGGGCAGGCUAGAGUUCGGUAGGGGAGACUGGAAUUCCCGGUGUAGCAGUGAAAUGCGUAGAGAUCGGGAGGAACAUCAGUUGCGAAGGCGGCUCUCUGGACCAGUACUGACGCUGAGGCACGAAAGCGUGGGGAGCAAACAGG
This 253-nucleotide ribosomal RNA is filed under the name uncultured bacterium. RNAcentral describes it as "partial 16S ribosomal RNA". It matches the Rfam family "Bacterial small subunit ribosomal RNA", at positions 524 to 776 of the family's 1533-position model. The record is from RNAcentral.